Molecule: small RNA, 181 nt
Filed under: Pseudomonas sp. NFR16
Lineage: Bacteria; Pseudomonadati; Pseudomonadota; Gammaproteobacteria; Pseudomonadales; Pseudomonadaceae
Description: Pseudomonas sRNA P1
Rfam family: Pseudomonas sRNA P1
About the family: There appears to be two related copies of P1 sRNA in the P.aeruginosa PA01 genome and both copies appear to be located upstream of predicted glutamine synthetase genes.
Source: RNAcentral
ACCCCCGGUAUUAUUGCUGUUAUGGGUUGCAAUCGAGCUUAGCGUUGUUCAUUUUUUUACACAACAGCCCCGUAAAAAAUAAAACACGCCUCGCUCAAGCCCGCGCUUCGCCCUUCUUCCGACGCGUAAUAAUUGCCCUAAACUGCGGCAAAAAAGGCGUUUCGGCGCCCUUUUAGGGCAA